Molecule: ribosomal RNA, 564 nt
Filed under: Triticum aestivum (bread wheat)
Lineage: Eukaryota; Viridiplantae; Streptophyta; Magnoliopsida; Poales; Poaceae
Description: partial small subunit ribosomal RNA
Source: RNAcentral
AUGAGACUGCCAUCUGGUGGAGGAAACCCGAGGGUAACCUCGACAUCAGAAGGCUCACUUUGUGACGUUUGCUUGGGAAUAUACGAACAUGGAAAACUCGCUCCAAGUAAAGCAAGAGGACUCGGAUGUCCUCCCAUCACACAGAAAGUAGUUUUUAUACAGAAAAUAGCACAACGUGCAAAACAAAACACACGAUCCAUUAAACACAUGCAUAAGAAUGUGUUUGAAAUGAAAUGCACACAAAACAGAUGUGCGUCUCAUGGCAAUUCCCAAAGUUUAAGUGCAGCAAUGCUGCUAUCAAGGGCGAUGGAAUAUGAGACAGCCGACUGGUGGAGGAAACCCAUAGGAACCUUGACAUCAGGGGGCUCACUUUAUGACGUUUGCUUAGGAAUAUACGAACAUGAAAAGUUUGCUCCACAUAAAAGCAAGAAGACUCGGAUGUCCUCCCAUCACACAGAAUAUGGUUUUUAUAUACAGAAAAUAAGCAUGAUAACCAAACUGAAACAUGCAAUCCAAUACCAACAAGGCAUAAGAAUGUGUUUGAAAAUGAAAUGCACACAAUAA